GGGGCUGCAACUCAGCUGACAAGUAGCAAAAAAACUCCGUCUCUCACUGUUGUUUUUACUGCUUUCAGAAAUGGUUCAGUGUCAUCGGGAAAAGUCCAUUAGCAUCACAACCGUGAGCUAACUAUAGGCUAACUAUUAGAGAUUGUGUGCCCAUUGACUGCCAUUAUAUGACUGACAGACUACAACGGUUUGAGUUAAAAACCUUUGUUUGUGUUCUACUGAAGAAACAAAGUCACCUACUUCUUGGAUGCCCUGGGGCAGAGUUGGAGGAGACCUCUUGUUGAAGAACAUCUCCAAGACACUAUGAACCAUCUGAGUAG
Long non-coding RNA from Onychostoma macrolepis, 320 nucleotides. RefSeq lists it as uncharacterized. The transcript has 4 exons. The record is from RefSeq and is a predicted model, not a curated record. NCBI's taxonomy places the organism in Eukaryota, Metazoa, Chordata, Actinopteri, Cypriniformes, Cyprinidae.